UCCGGUGGUCCUCUAACCUCAGAUCUGAAGGUUGUUUAUCCUCUUUCCUCUAGCCCGCUCACAACCUGUGCUAGCACCGGUGCUUUUUUGCCGGUCUGUUGGUAGCUGGUUGCGGUGGUGUUCGUCGGGACCGGGAGAAAUCCCUGGUUGGUGUCUCCGACCACGGCGGUGGCCAGGCCCUCGGGCGCGGCUCCCCUUCUUGAAGGCACCGUCGAGAUCCCCUCUUCCCACCCCUCCCCCUCCGUUCCAAGGUUAAUUCCUGUAAUCCCUUGCGGAUUCGGCGGCGGCGGCGCUCGGCGUCGUAACCUCCCUGGGGGCGUCGUCUGGUUAGAAGGGUGUAGGUGUGCGGUGCUAGAUCCGAGGUUUGCAAUUGCAGCGGGGGUCCGUGUGACAACUUGGUUUCCAGCGAUGCCAGGCUUGCCUUUCUCUGUUUGGUGCUUGUUGGCCGUCCCCUGUUCGCCGGUGCUCGGCUCCCUUGAGCCUGGGUGGAAGAGGAAAGGGUUCCCCUUCCCGGCAACAGAGCCGUGGCAGCUCAAUGAGCACCAGGGCCAUAUCCCGCGCAUCCUGUGCAUGAUCUGUUUCCCUGUUGCUCACCGCAAGCUCGAUGCUUCUUCAGUUCCGAUGUGUCGUUUCCUGCAGCUUACUCUCUUCUUGUUUGGACACCGGCGGUCUGUGCUUAUAUGCCCAGUGAGGUAUGCCCGCUGCUGCGACAUGGAUGCGAGCAAAUGUUCUGUGUCUGCUACCCCAAGAUCGUGCCUUUCCUUGUUCUAGGGUGAACCCAUCCCUCGCUCGACGGUGCGGCGUCCUUCGAUCCAGGACGAGGGGGUAGGGACCCUCUUCGGCGAGGGAGAAGGAAGGUGUGGUAUCUUUCUGGUCCAGUGCAGGAGUUUUUGGCGUGUUUGUGGCCAAGGCGGUAGGCAAUGCCAUUGUCGAUGUUGUUUCCUUGGGCGCCGGUGUUUCAAGCUUCAAGGGCAGUCCUUUCUUCAAGCGGUUCUUCAUCUCUAUCUAGUUUAGGUGCUUGUAGUUUGGGAUUGUGUUGUAAGCUGUAUCUUCAGCACCCAUGUAUCUUUGGGCUGCUCGUGUUUUAUUUUCUUUGUAAGUGGCGGUGGGCUGCUCUUGUUGGUUGUAAUACCUGGCCGGUUG
Molecule: long non-coding RNA, 1143 nt
Filed under: Triticum aestivum (bread wheat)
Lineage: Eukaryota; Viridiplantae; Streptophyta; Magnoliopsida; Poales; Poaceae
Description: long non-coding RNA (TAES_LNC028435)
Source: RNAcentral